GCCUCGCUAGCUCAGUUGGUAGAGCAGCUGACUCUUAAUCAGCGGGUCCUAGGUUCGAGUCCUAGGCGAGGCA
RNAcentral lists this transfer RNA (73 nucleotides) under Phycisphaerae bacterium. Its description in RNAcentral is "tRNA-Lys". It matches the Rfam family "tRNA". From Rfam's summary of the family: Transfer RNA (tRNA) molecules are approximately 80 nucleotides in length. Their secondary structure includes four short double-helical elements and three loops (D, anti-codon, and T loops). Further hydrogen bonds mediate the characteristic L-shaped molecular structure. tRNAs have two regions of fundamental functional importance: the anti-codon, which is responsible for specific mRNA codon recognition, and the 3' end, to which the tRNAs corresponding amino acid is attached (by aminoacyl-tRNA synthetases). tRNAs cope with the degeneracy of the genetic code in two manners: having more than one tRNA (with a specific anti-codon) for a particular amino acid; and 'wobble' base-pairing, i.e. permitting non-standard base-pairing at the 3rd anti-codon position. The record is from RNAcentral. Lineage: Bacteria; Pseudomonadati; Planctomycetota; Phycisphaerae.